ACACGUGUUAUGUAUCUGUAUUGUAUGGUCGUAUGUGUUUUGUAGUUAAGUCGUGAGAGUUGCGUCCCUUUGUAUGAUAAUGAUGCAUAUUUGUCAUGUGAUGUUAUCUGGCUCUUUGAAAUAAACGUGCUAUGGAAAUAGAUGUGUUUUUAUUGCUCUUAAGCAAAUAUAACUUUAGCGGCAUGGGGAGGCAAGUAUAUGUCCCCCUAUGUACGUAAUAC
This 221-nucleotide long non-coding RNA is filed under the name Mytilus galloprovincialis (Mediterranean mussel). The record is from RNAcentral. Lineage: Eukaryota; Metazoa; Mollusca; Bivalvia; Mytilida; Mytilidae.